AGUCUGCUAGGGACAGCUGUUUGUUGUGGGAUCACAGAUGAGAUCAGGAGAAGGACAACUGAAAGGAGAAGAGAGGAGACCAUCUCACACUGUCCAAUAUCACACUGUCCUGAUUACCAUAGUUACCAUACACAUCUUGAAAUCAGGAUCUCAUUCUGUCUGUGAACAUGGAUUCCACUUGUGUCUGAGACUUCCAGGGAUUCCAGCUCUCCCAAUUGCCUGUGUUUGGCCUUUAUGAAUGUGUUACAUUUUCAGUUGUUUCCUUCUUACCCACUUUUAUGGCUGUCAUUUCUUCCAUACAUGCUGUGCCGGAGGUGACGCAGUUUGUGUGUCUCAUCUCUCCUCAGAAUGACUUGUCACCCUUUUAUAUCAUGGAACAUAUAUCAUGGGAACAUGGCUGACUUGUUAGCUCUCUGACGAUCUAAUAAAAAACUGUAAUGUCA
Long non-coding RNA from Homo sapiens (human), 443 nucleotides. RefSeq lists it as uncharacterized. The record is from RefSeq and is a predicted model, not a curated record. The transcript is spliced from 2 exons. NCBI's taxonomy places the organism in Eukaryota, Metazoa, Chordata, Mammalia, Primates, Hominidae.